CGUGGCCCAAGGACAGCUGCGUCAGUACAACUGGAGGUGACAUGAACUGCAGCAUCAGAGGCACAGCAAGCACUGGAGGGUGUCCCAAUGUUAAGUGGUCUUGCUGUCAGCAAAAACCUGCUCUGGUACUGUAUUGAAGUUGGAGGGGUUUCACUAGUUAUAGGAAUAUUUAUUGAGCUGUUCAUUUGUUUGUUUGUUUUAAAGAUUAAUAUCUUGGGGUUUUUUUGUUGUUUGGAUUUUUUUUUUCACAUGAGAUAAACCAUCUAUCUGAGAAAUAAGUCAGCUUUGUGGACAGCCAGUGGAUGUCAAUAAAGUCUUGGCAAACACAAUAGGUAUUUAUUCAGCCUUGCAAAUUAGAAACAUUUCUCUUGCUUGUUUUAUGAAGGGAACAAAAAAAGACAAAUUACAUAGCAGAUGAGCUCUCUUGAUAGUUGGAAUUCGUUAGUCUGGUGGUGAAAACGCUGGGGGAUUUAUGGUGCAGAAAAGUAAAAUAAAAGAUGAAACAGCUUUUCACCAAUAGCAGUGGUUUAAGUUCUUAUUGAAAAUUACUGGGGAAAAAACCCUUUAAAGACAUCUGUAGCUGACUUCACAUUCUCAAUUACUGUCUUGGUAGGCAGUUCUUCCCUUCCUCACUGCAGUAAGUAUUAAUUGUUUUUUCAGCUGGCACACAAUUCCUUUAUGGUUCCUCAGUCUCAUUGCCGUGGGAUAUCUGCAGCAGCUCGUAAAUGAGAUACAUGGCCAAGUGUUGAGUAGGAAGUUCACACUCUUGCUUCCCAUGCUGUAGCCAUUCUGUGAACAGAGGCUUUCUGCAAAGUUAUCAAUCUGUCAUCUUCCCUUGGCUUCACAUUUUAUUAAAAAAAGGAAUUUGAGAAGUUACAGUAAGUUGAACAAUUUGUCAGACGUAACUAACUUGAAGGCUAUUGUCUCCAAAUUACAGGCUGACUCGGUCGUGCAGCCUGUCAUGGAUGGAUCAUAAAGCUGUCAUAAGUAAAUGCUUGAAGAAAAUCCGCUUAGGCAGCUCCUGUGAUGGCAGAACAUGGAAAGGAUGCAAGACACUGAAAAACAGAGAGUUACCUGAUAAAGAGCUGCAGUUGCUGCUUUUUCAAGCAGUACUCAUUUGUGCUGGUAACUGUGGGGCUCAUACACACCUUCUGAUUCACCCUCUUCCUCGAGGAAACUGGGGUUCUUCAUCUACUUCCCUCCGUAUCUCCUAUACUGGAAUUUCUUUGCAUUUCUCCAUGGGGAGGGAUUACAGAUUUGGAGCAGCCUCCAGCCCCCAUCCUAUACCAGGUAGGACCAUGGCUGGGCUUGAUACACAGGGGCUGUUUGUUCAAUUCCAGCACUGGGCAAAUCUGAACAGCUUACUGAGGCACUGCUCUCACCCCCUGACUGCAAAGGGAUGUCAGUAUAUUAGAAGAAUGUGCUUUCCUUUCACUCUUGAGGGUGAGAAAUGGUUUGUGUGACCUUCUCAGCUUCUGCUUUUCACUUUCUCAUUGUAAGCAGCCAUGCUGAUAACCCGACACGCUCUCAGUCAUCAAGUUUCCUGUGCAUAACUAAAGCUCUUCAUAGCUUAGAACACUGGAGGGAAAAUUCCCUCCCUUCUGCCCAGCCAUGGCUAAUAUUUUCUCUUGGGAUUUCUGUUAGCCAUUGGACAUCAACAAUCUGUCAAGAAAUCAGAGCCUGAAUCCUUCUGAGAUAAUGCUGAGAGGGAUCACCUGUUUGAAAAAUACUUUCUGCCUAACUUCAUCUUCCCGCACGCACAAGUGAGCCUGCUGAGUAAGCUCAAGUAUCUCAGACCUUUGUCACCACUUAGAAGGGCACAUAGGAUGUUAAGUCAAUCUUCUUCUUCAGAGAAGCAUCCCCCAUUUCACAGUGGAAAAUUCCCCUGGGUGCUGAGUUAUAAUGAGGUUGGUCACUCACCCAUGUCUCUGUUAUAGUACCAUAUAUAUAUAUAUAUAGUAUAAAACCAUAUAUAUAUAUAUAUAUAGUAUAAAACCAUAGAAUUAGAAUGAUAGAAUGGCUUGGGUUGGAAAAGGCCUUAAAGAUCAUCUAGUUCUAACCUCCAUGCUGUAGGCAGGGUUGCCCCCAAUUAGAUCAGACUGCCCAGCACCCCAUCCAACCUGGCCUUCAGCAUCUCCAGGGAUGGGGAAUCCACAGCAAACCCCUUGUUGCAAAUCCAGGAUAGGCUUCAUUUGUGUGACUGUGGGUUCCCACUAUGAACUGUUGGUGAUACUUUGAGGACAACAGUUCCAAGUCGUGCCUCAUCUUCCUCAUCUCUGGACAGUUUGUGGGUCAUGCGGAAAGGAGCUUCCUUCCCUCAAGUAGAUGUGCGUGGGCAGUGUUUAUGAAAGAAGAGAAAUAAUUUCCCCUUUUGCUUUCCAGGAAAAUAAAUUAGUCUCUUCCAUUCCUGUUUCA
Long non-coding RNA from Coturnix japonica (Japanese quail), 2415 nucleotides. NCBI's taxonomy places the organism in Eukaryota, Metazoa, Chordata, Aves, Galliformes, Phasianidae. The record is from Ensembl.